RNAcentral lists this ribosomal RNA (395 nucleotides) under uncultured bacterium. RNAcentral describes it as "partial 16S ribosomal RNA". It matches the Rfam family "Bacterial small subunit ribosomal RNA", at positions 523 to 918 of the family's 1533-position model. The record is from RNAcentral.
CUACGUAGGGUGCAAGCGUUAAUCGGAAUUACUGGGCGUAAAGCGUGCGCAGGCGGUUAUGUAAGGCAGAGGUGAAAUCCCCGGGCUCAACCUGGGAACUGCCUUUGUGACUGCAUAGCUAGAGUACGGUAGAGGGGGAUGGAAUUCCGCGUGUAGCAGUGAAAUGCGUAGAUAUGCGGAGGAACACCGAUGGCGAAGGCAAUCCCCUGGACCUGGACUGACGCUCAUGCACGAAAGCGUGGGGAGCAAACAGGAUUAGAUACCCUGGUAGUCCACGCCCUAAACGACGUCAACUGGUUGUUGGGUGCAUUAGUACUCAGUAACGAAGCUAACGCGUGAAGUUGACCGCCUGGGGAGUACGGCCGCAAGGUUGAAACUCAAAUGAAUUGACGGGU